AGCAGAAACAGUUGGGAAGCUGUUCCAAAGAGGGUGACAGGCCCGUAUGCGAAAUCUUGUACUCUCUAAUCAGGAUCCUGAGUACGGCCCAGCACGUGAAAUUGGGUCGGAAUCUGGGAGGACCAUCUCCCAAGGCUAAAUACUAACUAGUGACCGAUAGCGAACAAGUACCGUGAGGGAAAGGUGAAAAGAACCCCGGAAGGGGAGUGAAAUAGUUCUUGAAACCGUGUGCUUACAAGAAGUUCGAGGCCGUUAAUGGCUGAGAGCGUGCUUUUUGUAGAAUGAACCGGAGAGUUACGAUUGCGUGCAAGGUUAAGGUGCAAAGACUGGAGCCGUAGCGAAAGCGAGUCUUAAUAGGGCGAAUCAGUACGUAGUUGUAGACCCGAAACCGAGUGACCUAUCCAUGGUCAGGUUGAAGGUGGGGUAAUACCUACUGGAGGACCGAACAAGUGGGUGUUAAAAAACCCUUUGAUGAACUGUGGAUAGCGGUGAAAUUCCAAUCGAACUCGGAGAUAGCUGGUUCUAUCCGAAAUACAUUUAGGUGUAGCCUUGCAAUUAGCUUACUGGAGGUAGAGCACUAUUUGGUCUAGGGGCCCUUCAAGGGUUACCAAAAUCAGAUAAACUCCGAAUGCCAGCUAAGUAUGUGCAGGAGUCAGACGGUGAGUGAUAAGAUCCAUCGUCAAAAGGGGAACAGCCCAGAUCACCAGUUAAGGUCCCUAAAUAUAUGCUAAGUGGAAAACGUUGUGAAGGUGCAUAGACAACUAGGAGGUUGGCUCAGAAGCAGCCACCCUUUAAAGAGUGCGUAAUAGCUCACUAGUCGAGUGCUCUUGCGCGGAUAAUGUACCGGGGCUAAGCAUAUUACCGAAACUGUGGAUGCGUAAGCAUGGUAGGAUAGCGUAAUUAACGCGAUGAAGGAUGACCGUAAGGACAUGUUGGAGCGUUAACUAGUGAGAAUUCCGGUAUGAGUAGCGAAAGAUAGGUGAGAAUCCUAUCCACCGAAUGAGUAAGGUUUCCCCCGGAAGGCUCGUCCGCGGGGGGUUAGUCGGGACCUAAGGCGAGGCUGAAAAGCGUAGUCGAUGGACAACAGGUUGAUAUUCCUGUACCGAUAUUUAAUUGCCGAAGGAAGGACGCAGAAGGAUAACACAGGCCACUAUUGGAUGUGGUUUUAAACAGUUAGUCUUCAUAAGAGUCAAAUGCUUUUAUGUUUAAGGAUAAGCUGUGAAUGUACCAAGUUUACUUGGAAAUUGUGUGAUUUCACGCUGCUGAAAAAAGUUUCGUAGGAAGAAAAUAUUGCCCGUACCGCAAACCGACACAGGUACUCAAGUGGAGAACACUAAGGUGAGCGAGUGAACUAUUGUUAAGGAACUCUGCAAAAUGAGUCCGUAACUUCGGAAGAAGGACUGCUGGUUUUAUACCAGCCGCAGCAAAUAGGCCCAAACAACUGUUUAUCAAAAACACAGGUUUCUGCAAAAUCGUAAGAUGAAGUAUAGGGGCUGACGCCUGCCC
RNAcentral lists this ribosomal RNA (1506 nucleotides) under Oenococcus oeni. RNAcentral's name for it is "bacterial LSU rRNA". It matches the Rfam family "Bacterial large subunit ribosomal RNA", at positions 331 to 1864 of the family's 2925-position model. The record is from RNAcentral. Lineage: Bacteria; Bacillati; Bacillota; Bacilli; Lactobacillales; Lactobacillaceae.